AUAUAAGCAAAUUUUACUUUUUAGGUUCAUUCAAUUAAUGAUGUAUGUGGUACCACAUACAUCAUUAAUUGAAUGAACCUAAAAAGUAAAAUUUGCUUAUAU
This is a microRNA precursor of Medicago truncatula (barrel medic), 102 nucleotides long. It matches the Rfam family "MIR2593 microRNA precursor family". The record is from Rfam. NCBI's taxonomy places the organism in Eukaryota, Viridiplantae, Streptophyta, Magnoliopsida, Fabales, Fabaceae.